RNAcentral lists this ribosomal RNA (957 nucleotides) under uncultured organism. Its description in RNAcentral is "bacterial SSU rRNA". It matches the Rfam family "Bacterial small subunit ribosomal RNA", at positions 225 to 1209 of the family's 1533-position model. The record is from RNAcentral.
AGAGGCCUGCGGUCCAUCAGCUAGUUGGGAGGGUAACGGCCUACCAUGGCAUAGACGGGUAGGGGGCGUGAGAGCGCGGACCCCCUCGCUGGCACUGAUAUACGGGCCAGACUCCUACGGCAGGCAGCAGUAAGGGAUAUUGCGCAAUGGACGAAAGUCAGACGCAGCCCCCCCGCGUGGGCGAUGAAGGCCUUCGGGUUGUUCCGCCCUUUUAUGGGGGAAGAUAAAAAGGACGGUACCCCAGGAAUAAGUCCCGGCUAACUACGUGCCAGUAGCCGCCUUAAAACGUAGGGAACCAGCGUUAUCCGGAUUCACUGGGCUGUAAAGAGCGUUGAGGCGGUUCCGUAAGUUGGGCGUGAAAGCUCCGGGCUUAACUCGGAGAUGUCGCUCAAUACUGCGUGGCUUGAGGACAGCAGAGGACGGUGGAAUUCCCGGUGUAUUGCUGAAAUGCGUAUAUAUCGGGAGGAACACCCGUGGAGAAGGCUGCCUUCUGGGCUGUUCCUGACGCUGACGGCCAAAGCUAGGGGAGCGAACGGGAUUAGAUACCCCGGUAGUCCUAGCUGUAAACGAUGCAUGCUGCUUUUGGGGGGAGUAAAUUCCCUCUGUGAUGAAGCAAACGCAUUAAGCAUCCAGCGUGGGGACUACAGCCACAAGACUAAAACUCAAACAAAUUGUCGGGGGUCCGCUCAAGCAGCAGAGCGUGUGGUGUAAUUCGAUCUUACACGAAGUACCUUACCUGGGUUUGACAUGCACGUUCUAGUGAACCGAAAGGGCACCUACCUUGGGGAGCGUGCACAGGUGCAGCAUGGCUGUCGUCAACUCGUGCCGUGAGGCUGUCGGGUUAAGUCCCCUAACUAGCGCAACCCUUGCCCUUAGUUACAAGUGUCUAAGAAGACUGCCCGGCACAAUCUGGGAGGAAGGUGGGGAUGACGUCAAAUCAGCAUGUCCUUUAUAUCC